This 775-nucleotide ribosomal RNA is filed under the name uncultured Neocallimastigales. RNAcentral describes it as "partial large subunit ribosomal RNA". It matches the Rfam family "Eukaryotic large subunit ribosomal RNA", at positions 23 to 645 of the family's 3401-position model. The record is from RNAcentral. Lineage: Eukaryota; Fungi; Neocallimastigomycota; Neocallimastigomycetes; Neocallimastigales.
AGAGAGAGACAUGCGCGCAUAUCAAUAAGCGGAGGAAAAGAAACUAACAAGGAUUCCCUUAGUAACGGCGAGUGAAGCGGGAAGAGCUCAAAUUUGAAAUCUUCAAGGUUUUACCUUGACGAAUUGUAGUUUAAAGAAGUGUUUUCUGCUGAAGUUUUGGUAAAAGUUCUUUGGAAUAGGACAUCAUAGAGGGUGAGAAUCCCGUAUUUGACCAUUAUUUUCAGCUUUGUGAUACACUCUCAAAGAGUCGGAUUGUUUGGGAAUGCAGUCCAAUAUGGGUGGUAAAUUUCAUCUAAAGCUAAAUAUUGGCGAGAGACCGAUAGCGAACAAGUACCGUGAGGGAAAGAUGAAAAGAACUUUGAAAAGAGAGUUAAACAGUACGUGAAAUUGUCAAAAGGGAAGCGUUUGACACCAGUGUUGUUUUCUCGAAAAUCAAUUAAAAAUGGCUCGAUUUUGUAUUGCUGAGACCUUAAAAGCUCACUGUACAUUUUUCGUGUCUUUUUUAAUGCACUUUUCGUUUAACAAGUCAACAUCAGUUUCUUUUGUUGUAAAAGGGUCAUUGGAAGGUGGCUUUCUUUUCGGAGAAAGUGUUUAUAGCCUUUGGCCUCUGCAAUCGGAAGAGACUGAGGUCUGCAGCGUAGACUCUUCGGGGUUAGAUACAUUUGUGCUAAGUUAUAGCUUUUUAUAGACAACUUGUUGACUAUAAUUAGUCUUGUAGCUUACUCGCUUAUGCUAUUUUACCUACGCUUAGGAUGUUGAAGUCAUCGUAUCGCGC